CCGGUUACUCGAUCAGUCGCAGUAAAAAACGAACCGCCAACGUGCUCGCUAUAUAGGUACCUAGUGUAAUUUCGCUAUACAUAACAGCCACAGAGCAUGUGAUGUUUUCAUACACGUAACGGUUAUUAUUAAAACAAAAUUUAUUUACAAUGUUCAAAAUGGUUUGUUCGAAUCUAUUUUCAUUUAUUGUGUGUUCUAUUUUAAUAAGUUCAUCGCUGUCGGCCACUAGGAUAAUAAAAGAAUCACACAUGAAUGCUCGCUUGAAGAGAGUAAGUCCAGAAAAUACUGUAGUGUACGGUUCUCGCACGCAGGACCGGAGGGACUCGUCGGCGGACAGCCAACAGUUCUUGCCGGCGUUCGGGCCGCUGUUCGGCCAACUCGGCCACCACUCCCGUCCGCCCCGGCUGUACCAGGAGGCCGACUACCUGCCCGAGCUGACGCCGUUCUUGCAGACGGCCGCGGCGUCCAACCAAGAGAACGCCAUGCUGGGCUCGGGCAACUUCGGUGUCAUACCCGGUGGCACGUACUACGCGGCCGGCGAGACAGCGUCCGCGUCCGACCCGUACCUGUACGACGGCAACAGUCAUGGACGACCGCACCGGUACGUUCAGGGGCACCGAAUAAAUGGCAAUAGGUUUUCCGGAAAUCCUAGACCAUCAGCAUUCCGUGACCCAGAUGACUUCUUUGCAGGGUUCCGAGACUUUGCUGAUAUCACAGCUCCGACCAAGUCAUCAUUCUCACAAUACCAUAUGGUAUAUGCUCCGAUGGAGGAUUUACCGUCGAGUGAAGAAAAGGUAAAGUCGAAAAAGAAGAGGAAGUUAAACAAACAUUUAGAGAAUGAAAAUGAUAAAACAAUUAAAGCUAAAAGAAAAAUGCACAUGGGUGAAAAGGAAUUAUACGAACCAAUGAUUGCGCUAAGUUAGUCGGUAUGAUACAAGAAUGAAUAAUGAAGAAAUUAUUAUUAUUAUUAUUAUUAUUAUUAUUUCGAAGUACAAAGUAUUGGAAUUUUUUUUCUAUCGACUAUAUUAUACACAUAUGGGUACAAAAAAGAAGUGCCCCAACUACCAAAGUUUGUGAGCUCGAUUACUUACAUCUCAUGGUUUUGGCAUUUAAAAUGUUUUAUUUAACAAAAUAGAUCCAUCAAAAACAUGGUUUCCCAAUGGUACUAUACUAUUAUAUACUGUGUUAAUAUUAUUUUAUUAGGUACUUAUAUAUUAAUAUAAUAUAAUAUUAUUAUGAAUCAUGACGUAUUAAUAGGUCAUAUUCAAAUUAAAAUAAAUAUUGUUUGUAUGCUUAGUUAUUAUUUUAUUAUUGUAUAAAAAUACCAAAUACCUAGUUGUAUACUGUUUUGAACUAAUGUAUAAUAAUUUGUAAAUAUAUAUUUUUUUAAAUAAAUGUUAAAAAUUGUUUGAAAAUA
RNA transcript from Acyrthosiphon pisum (pea aphid), 1417 nucleotides. RefSeq lists it as uncharacterized. The transcript is spliced from 4 exons. NCBI's taxonomy places the organism in Eukaryota, Metazoa, Arthropoda, Insecta, Hemiptera, Aphididae. The record is from RefSeq and is a predicted model, not a curated record.